MicroRNA precursor from Gorilla gorilla gorilla (western lowland gorilla), 99 nucleotides. Ensembl annotates it as microRNA 3914-1. NCBI's taxonomy places the organism in Eukaryota, Metazoa, Chordata, Mammalia, Primates, Hominidae. The record is from Ensembl.
UGGACUUCAGAUUUAACUUCUCAUUUUCUGGUUCCUUCUAAUGAGUAUGCUUAACUUGGUAGAAGGAACCAGAAAAUGAGAAGUUGAGUAGGAACUCUA